UUGCGGUUAAAAAGCUCGUAGUUGGAUUUCUGUUGAGGAUGACCGGUCCGCUCUUUGAGCGCGUAUCUGGUUCAGCCUUGGCAUCCUCUUGGGGAACGCUACUGAGCUUGAUUGCAUGGGGCGGUAUUCAAGACUUUUACUUUGAGGAAAUUAGAGUGUUCACUGCAAGCGUUAGCAAUUGAAUACAUUAGCAUGGAAUAAUAAUAUAGGACCUUGGUAGUAUUUUGUUGGUUUCUAGAACUAAGGUAAUGAUUAAUAGGGACAAUUGGGGGCAUUCGUAUUAACGCGUCAGAGGUGGAAUUCUUAGAUUGCGUUACGACGAACUACUGCGAAAGCAUUUGCCAAGGAUGUUUUCAUUGAUCAAGAACGAAAGUAUGGGGAUCGAAGACGCUUAGAUACCGUCGUAGUCUAUACCAUAAACUAUGCCAACUAGAGAUUGGAGGUCGUUCUCUUUAUGACUCCUUCAGCACCUUAUGAGAAAUCAAAGUCUUUGGGUUCCGGGGGGAGUAUGGUCGCAAGGCUGAAAACUUAAAGGAAUUGACGGAAGGGCACCACCAGGAGUGGAGCCUGCGGCUUAAUUUGACUCAACACGGGAAAACUUACCAGGUCCAGACAUAGUAAGGAUUGACAGAUUGAUAGCUC
This 642-nucleotide ribosomal RNA is filed under the name uncultured marine eukaryote. RNAcentral describes it as "SSU rRNA". It matches the Rfam family "Eukaryotic small subunit ribosomal RNA", at positions 613 to 1257 of the family's 1831-position model. The record is from RNAcentral.